UGACUNGAGUGCAGAAGGGGAGAGUGGAAUUCCAUGUGUAGCGGUGAAAUGCGUAGAUAUAUGGAGGAACACCAGUGGCGAAAGCGGCUCUCUGGUCUGUCACUGACGCUGAGGCUCGAAAGCGUGGGUAGCGAACAGGAUUAGAUACCCUGGUAGUNCACGCCGUAAACGAUGAGUGCUAGGUGUUAGGCCCUUUCCGGGGCUUAGUGCCGGAGCUAACGCAAUAAGCACUCCGCCUGGGGAGUACGACCGCAAGGUUGAAACUCAAAGGAAUUGACGGGGGCCCGCACAAGCGGUGGAGCAUGUGGUUUAAUUCGAAGCAACGCGAAGAACCUUACCAGGUCUUGACAUCCCGAUGCUAUUCUUAGAGAUAGGAAGUUACUUCGGUACAUCGGAGACAGGUGGUGCAUGGUUGUCGUCAGCUCGUGUCGUGAGAUGUUGGGUUAAGUCCCGCAACGAGCGCAACCCUUAUUGUUAGUUGCCAUCAUUAAGUUGGGCACUCUAGCGAGACUGCCGGUAAUAAACCGGAGGAAGGUGGGGAUGACGUCAAAUCAUCAUGCCCCUUAUGACCUGGGCUACACACGUGCUACAAUGGUCGGUACAACGAGUUGCGAGCCGGUGACGGCAAGCUAAUCUCUGAAAGCCGAUCUCAGUUCGGAUUGGAGGCUGCAACUCGCCUCCAUGAAGUCGGAAUCGCUAGUAAUCGCGGAUCAGCACGCCGCGGUGAAUACGUUCCCGGGCCUUGUACACACCGCCCGUCACACCACGAGAGUUUGUAACACCCGAAGUCGGUGAGGUAACCUUUUAGGGNCCAGCCGC
RNAcentral lists this ribosomal RNA (819 nucleotides) under uncultured bacterium. RNAcentral describes it as "bacterial SSU rRNA". It matches the Rfam family "Bacterial small subunit ribosomal RNA", at positions 638 to 1456 of the family's 1533-position model. The record is from RNAcentral.